GACGAACGCUGGCGGCGUGCUUAACACAUGCAAGUCGAGCGGAAAGGCCCUUCGGGGUACUCGAGCGGCGAACGGGUGCGUAACACGUGAGUAAUCUGCCCUUGGCUUUGGGAUAACUACCGGAAACGGUGGCUAAUAUCGGAUACGACAACCGUCUGCAUGGGCUGGUUGUGGAAAGUUUUUUCGGCCCGGGUUGUGCUCGCGGCCUAUCAGCUUGUUGGUGGGGUAAUGGCCUACCAAGGCUUCGACGGGUAGCCGGCCUGAGAGGGUGACCGGCCACACUGGGACGGAGACACGGCCCAGACUCCUACGGGAGGCAGCAGUGGGGAAUAGUGGACAAUGGGCGGAAGCCUGAGCCAGCAGCGCCGCGUGAGGGAUGACGGCCUUCGGGUUGUAAACCUCGUGCAGUACCGACGAAGCGCCGAUGAUGGUGGUGACGGUAGGUACAGAAGAAGCACCGGCCAACUACGUG
Molecule: ribosomal RNA, 472 nt
Filed under: uncultured bacterium
Lineage: Bacteria
Description: partial 16S ribosomal RNA
Rfam family: Bacterial small subunit ribosomal RNA
Source: RNAcentral